Long non-coding RNA from Fundulus heteroclitus (mummichog), 526 nucleotides. RefSeq lists it as uncharacterized. Lineage: Eukaryota; Metazoa; Chordata; Actinopteri; Cyprinodontiformes; Fundulidae. The transcript has 4 exons. The record is from RefSeq and is a predicted model, not a curated record.
CGGUCAUGGAGAGUCUCCAUCCAGCUGGAUCUCUGUCUCAGAGAAAUCCUCCACAUCUUCUCCAACAACCACUCCUUCUCCCACAUCAAGCUCUCCAGCCUCAUCCCACUUUCUUCCCUAUGGACUACUUUCUCUAAUAUGUGCCAUUGUUGUGGUUUUACUGCUGGUUUUAGUCGUGAUACAUCAUGUUAACAGAAAAUGUAAAGGUAAUCAGGAAGACGGAGAGGAAAGUAUCACAUACAGCGAUGUUAAAAUAUUACAGCAUAGACAACGGACAAACAAACCAAGCCAGGACUGCAGCGUAGGUCCAGAGGUUCUGACUUUACGGACCUCGCCCCAGAACGACCUCCAGCAAGUCGGGUUUUCUGAGAGAACCACCACUUCAACGCAUCACCAAGAGAAAUAAACACCCUGAGGGAUUUAAAAUGGUUCAGUAAGGUGGAAAACUGGUUGAAACCAGACCUGGGAUCUGUCUGUACCAAACAAUAAGAAAACCCAGAACCACAGAGAUGCUGGAUCCAGUGAC